UACGGGGGGAGCAAGCGUUGUUCGGAUUUACUGGGCGUAAAGGGCGCGUAGGCGGCCAGCACAAGUCAGUUGUGAAAUCUCCGAGCUUAACUCGGAAAGGUCAACUGAUACUGUGCGGCUAGAGUGCGGAAGGGGCAACUGGAAUUCUUGGUGUAGCGGUGAAAUGCGUAGAUAUCAGGAGGAACACCGGUGGCGAAGGCGGGUCUCUGGGCCGAAACUGACGCUGAGGAGCGAAAGCGUGGGGAGCGAACAGG
This 254-nucleotide ribosomal RNA is filed under the name uncultured bacterium. RNAcentral describes it as "partial 16S ribosomal RNA". It matches the Rfam family "Bacterial small subunit ribosomal RNA", at positions 524 to 776 of the family's 1533-position model. The record is from RNAcentral.